CCGGGCGGUCUCGGUUCCUGCAGGGCACAACCCGGACUCCUUCAGGGAGGAGACCUACUGUGCGCAGGGGUAGAAAACCUUGAGAGCCGGAGUGCCUCAGUUUUAAAACCUUCGGUAAGAGGCUUAACUCGAGAGAGGUAAGGAGAAAAUUAAAAACCUCCCUUUUGGACAAAUAAUAGCCUCUCACAAAUGAAGCAAUAAAAAAGAUUUCCUCCGCGACCUCUUACACCAGAGGUACAAAGUACUUAGGGGCGAACCUCAGCAAGUUACAAGAUCCUCAGGAUGAAAUCCCUCAACCUUGGCCGAAAGGCAGAAACAAGACCCGAUGACGUUCCUGCCACUUAAAGCUGUCUGGGGCAGAAUGAAGCAGAAAUGCGUCUGAUCUCAGGCCUUCGACUCUACUUCUUCCUAUGGCAGUUCUUGCUGUACCCGUGAACCGUGGGGGCCUCCUGAUCAUACUUCACGGACACCACAGAAAUCCCUUCGGAUUUGCCAAGGUGACCGCCUCCACCCGGAGCAUUGUGAUCAUCCCACCAGCUCUAAUCUAAUUUUCAUAAAGGACAAGAAUUUUCACCUGUUUUGUUCACCGCUGUAUUCCCAGUGCCUAGGACAGUGCCACAGAGAGAUGAGGAAAAGUGACUCAGCAAAAACCACCGGUUCCGUCGUUCUCAUGAGUGGCAGCUUUUCAGAGUCUCCCAAAAGCCUGGAUAUCGUACGUCCCAGCCUACCAGCACAUUCCCUCCACCUUGUAACCCAUCCCAGCUGAUCACCAGUGAAGGUCUGAACAACUGUGCUUCUCCAGAGAGUCAGGGAUUGUCAGGAUUUCGCUUACCACCAGGGAUGAGUCUUCAUUUCCAGUUGGCAGAACUACAAUCCAUCAUCCAUGCUGCUGCUGGAGGACACUUGGGAAUUGUGGUCAACAAAACAGAUGAAGUCUCUCCCGCCAUGGGACUUACCUUUUAAUGGGAGAGACAGGAGGUAACAACGAAGAAAUGAGCGAGCGAAUAGAUAAAUAAAUAUUAGGUAGUGAUAAUUGUUAUGCCAAGGAUUAGAAUGAUAUGAUGGGGUGCUGACAGGGCUGGUUUCUAGUAAUAUCCACUGCCCGACUGAACACCCCCAUGGGCUUCCCAUUGUCUUCUGGGUGCAGUUCAGACUCCAGUUUGGCACAAAAGACUCCCGUGGAGGUAAGUUCUGGGCCCGUGGUGAGGAUUGGACUGGGGUCCUUAUGGCCCCUUGGAUUCGGGCAUUUGGGUGAUAGGCUCUUCCCGGAGGGUGAGGCCAUCUGCUCUGAGUACCUCCUUCCCCAUUUCCUCUUCCUUCCCUUAUCCCCCCGGGAUCCCCAGUGCUGGAACAAUAUUGCUUAUGAGCUGAAUUGACAAAAGCCAGCUGCCUCAGCAGGUUUAUUCUUAUCAGUGACUGAACCCAGACAAUUAACAAUCCAUUUCAGUGGUGACUUUUGCCAUUCUUUUUGGGAAGUGCUGAAUGGGACAUGGCUUUUGGGAGGAGAGAUUCUUUUUUAGACCCGGAGAUGCAAUGCUCAUUUCUACUGAGCCUGUCGCUGGAGCUUGGUCGGUAGCCCCCAUGCUUCUCACUGUCCCCUCCUAGCCCAGCACCCAGUCUCUAAUCUAGGUCACUGAGGUUAUGGAAGGAGCUUGUGUUGAGUACAAAGACUGAACAAAACCGAAACGCAACCAAGCAUGUUCUCAGUAGUGGGUUCCGUGUCAUGGCUGAUAAUUCUUCCAUGAUCCCCGUUCUUAUCAGGAACUGUGACUUCAUUUCCCUGCACUCAUGGCUGGUGAGCACCGAUGAAGGAGGGAGCAGAAAUCCCCCUUCCCUCGGAAACAGAAGCUCCUGGCAGUCUUGCUUCGGCUCAUUUAUCAGGGCUCCUAAUCAUUCAUCUGAAGAAAUUGGUGAAUGAAUAAAUAAAUAUCCCUGAUGUCCAGCCAGAGCUCUUCUUCUUCCCCCAGCCUCCUCUUCUCCCCUUGCUGGAGCAGUGGUGUUCACCACCUUCCCUGCACUUGCCCUUCUCCCUCCCGCAGAUCUGGGUCACUGUUUACCUUCACCUCCCCCUAGCGGCAAGCUGGGUAAAUCACCCGCCGGAGCCUGGCUUCCAGGAGCCAGGCUCACCUGUUCUGAUGCAGACUGCAAAGAGAGUACUGCUGAUGAAGACAAGCAUUUAUCACUCCGAGGAGGUCCCACUCUCAUCUCAACCACCACAGACAGUCCUAUCGUAAUACCGAGAUGAUUAUCCUCUAUUAAUUGAUUUAAAUAGACACACGAAAAAGUACGACUAUAUAAAUCAGACUUUGUAAUUUACACAAUCAAGCCUGAGGCACUUUUCUCUUAUUAGACAUAAAGUAUAAUUGAUGAAAAGCAAAAAGCUUUCAUCUGAACGUUUAUAUUUGCAAUACACUGUAAAGGAAGUAGAUUUCAUAAGGUUGGUAUUGGUCAUAUGGAUUGCCCUUUGAGUGGAAUCAAAAGGGCUUUACUGAAAAAAACUGUAUAACCCCAGGUUAAGUCUGUAUAUCCGAGGCUGAGAAAAGUCAUAAGAAGGAUGGGGUAAGCCAUAUGAUAUAAAAAAGGCUAGGAAGACCCUUGCUGUGCCUGAAAAUUUUACCCUGCGUCACUCAGCCCGAAAUGAUAGAAUUACCUUGGACUCAAGUCAAAUGUUCAUACUGGUAGACAGAUGUCAUUAGAAUCCAUUAAUUAUCAGCUUUCUGUCCUUCCCCUGGUUAAACCUCUGAAAGCCUAAUGCCGAGCCACCAAAAAGUGGGGGAAGACAGAACUGUAAGGAGCUGGGUUGACCGUCACCCUAUGGGGAAGCUAAAAGACCGAAUGAGCAGUGGGGACAGAGGAUGGGGCACAUUCUCGGAGGUGGAAAAAAAAGUGUGGAUAGCUUUACCUCCAGUUCUCCUUGGGUACAGCUUCUUAAAAUUGAUGUUUCAUGAGUCCUUGGGAGAAUUUCUCUCCCAAAAAUGCCAGCGGUAUAGUUCAGGAGCUGAAAGAAAGACCUUUAUUCCUUAUUUUAGCUCCCUGUUAACUCCUUAACCCUCCCAACAGCCUGGAGCUAGGCGCUGUUACACUAUUCACUGCACAGGUAAGCAGCGACAUGGAGAAGUUAAGGGACUUGCUUAUUAGAGUCACUUAGCCAGUGAGCGAGAGGGCCAGUUCCAGCCCUGGAGGCUGGCCAUCUGCAGUAACUUUUCUGACAGUGGGACAUCGAGCCAGGGGACUCAAGCAUGUUACAGUGGGUCCACCAAGAUCUUUAGGUAACUGUCGGUGCUGCUGGGUCUGAAAGAAGACAGUUUUGUACUGAAGCUUCAUUUAGCACACAGAACUAAAUCUUAUCCUUCGGGAUUCUCACCUGAGUCGGAAUCUGGCUGGCCUUAAGUUCUGUGGGUUUGUGUGGUUCCUGCCCCACCCCCAUGAACACCAAUUUCAUGAAUUGCUUUAUGUCAAAGACAAUAAGAUUUCUUUAGAAAAGUCUUUUCGUGGUGGCUUAAGUGUUUCCAAAAUGAUCAGUUUAAAAAUUUCACAGUAGCUGAAGACAAGAGAACUCAGUUUGUGGCCUUGACUAUAUUUCAGUACACAGCACAUUAUUCCGGUGGGGCCGAAGAAUGAUGGAGAAAGAAACCAAUUCUGAUGCCAAAACCCAAACUUACUUUGCAUAUGCAGGCAAUCCAUUGAAUUAAAAGAACAAUUAAAGAGAGCGCAAACU
This is a long non-coding RNA of Mirounga angustirostris (Northern elephant seal), 3718 nucleotides long. RefSeq lists it as uncharacterized. The record is from RefSeq and is a predicted model, not a curated record. The transcript has 6 exons. NCBI's taxonomy places the organism in Eukaryota, Metazoa, Chordata, Mammalia, Carnivora, Phocidae.